Molecule: ribosomal RNA, 554 nt
Filed under: uncultured bacterium
Lineage: Bacteria
Description: partial 16S ribosomal RNA
Rfam family: Bacterial small subunit ribosomal RNA
Source: RNAcentral
UAGGGAAUCUUCCACAAUGGACGCAAGUCUGAUGGAGCAACGCCGCGUGAGUGAAGAAGGUCUUCGGAUCGUAAAGCUCUGUUGUUGGUGAAGAAGGAUAGAGGCAGUAACUGGUCUUUAUUUGACGGUAAUCAACCAGAAAGUCACGGCUAACUACGUGCCAGCAGCCGCGGUAAUACGUAGGUGGCAAGCGUUGUCCGGAUUUAUUGGGCGUAAAGCGAGUGCAGGCGGAAUGAUAAGUCUGAUGUGAAAGCCCACGGCUCAACCGUGGAACUGCAUCGGAAACUGUCAUUCUUGAGUGCAGAAGAGGAGAGUGGAACUCCAUGUGUAGCGGUGGAAUGCGUAGAUAUAUGGAAGAACACCAGUGGCGAAGGCGGCUCUCUGGUCUGCAACUGACGCUGAGGCUCGAAAGCAUGGGUAGCGAACAGGAUUAGAUACCCUGGUAGUCCAUGCCGUAAACGAUGAGCGCUAGGUGUUGGGGACUUUCCGGUCCUCAGUGCCGCAGCAAACGCAUUAAGCGCUCCGCCUGGGGAGUACGACCGCAAGGUUGAAAC